Molecule: ribosomal RNA, 510 nt
Filed under: uncultured bacterium
Lineage: Bacteria
Description: partial 16S ribosomal RNA
Rfam family: Bacterial small subunit ribosomal RNA
Source: RNAcentral
GACGAACGCUGGCGGCGUGCUUAACACAUGCAAGUCGAACGAAGAGCGAUGGAAGCUUGCUUCUAUCAAUCUUAGUGGCGCACGGGUGAGUAACGCGUAAUCAACCUGCCCUUCAGAGGGGGACAACAGUUGGAAACGACUGCUAAUACCGCAUACGAUCUAAUCUCGGCAUCGAGGAUAGAUGAAAGGUGGCCUCUACAUGUAAGCUAUCACUGGAGGAGGGGAUUGCGUCUGAUUAGCUAGUUGGAGGGGUAACGGCCCACCAAGGCGAUGAUCAGUAGCCGGUCUGAGAGGAUGAACGGCCACAUUGGGACUGAGACACGGCCCAGACUCCUACGGGAGGCAGCAGUGGGGAAUCUUCCGCAAUGGACGAAAGUCUGACGGAGCAACGCCGCGUGAGUGAUGACGGCCUUCGGGUUGUAAAGCUCUGUUAAUCGGGACGAAAGGCCUUCUUGCGAAUAGUGAGAAGGAUUGACGGUACCGGAAUAGAAAGCCACGGCUAACUACGUG